RNAcentral lists this long non-coding RNA (446 nucleotides) under Brassica napus (rape). RNAcentral's name for it is "long non-coding RNA (BNAP_LNC022680)". Lineage: Eukaryota; Viridiplantae; Streptophyta; Magnoliopsida; Brassicales; Brassicaceae. The record is from RNAcentral.
AUGAUAUGUGACUUUGGGGUUUAGGGAUUUCAUUCUCGGUGUUUAGGGCUAAGCGUUGUAAAAUCGUUGUAAAAAUAACACGGACAUGGUAACUUCGUCGUAAAUGGUUAAAUCGAUUCCACGUAAUUUCGUCGUAAAUGGAAAAAGACGGGCCUGGUAACUUCGUCGUAAACGGAAAAGCCUGGUAAAUCGAUUCGACGUAAUUUCAUCGUAAAUGGAAAAAGACGGGUCUGGUAACUUCGUCGUAAACAGAAAAGCUUGGUAAAUCGAUUCGACUUAAUUUCGUCGUAAACAGACGCGGGCCUGGUAACUUCGUCGUAAAUGGAAAAACGCGGGCCUGGUAACUUCGUCGUAAUAUUACGUCGCGUUUACGACGAAACGUUUUCUAUAUAUUGAGACGCCGAGAGCGAGGCUGCCUCGUUCAUUCCUCCCAAAUUCCUUUGCUC